RNAcentral lists this ribosomal RNA (497 nucleotides) under uncultured bacterium. RNAcentral describes it as "partial 16S ribosomal RNA". It matches the Rfam family "Bacterial small subunit ribosomal RNA", at positions 28 to 507 of the family's 1533-position model. The record is from RNAcentral.
GACGAGCGCUGGCGGCGUGCCUAAUACAUGCAAGUUGAGCGCUGAAGGUUGGUACUUGUACCAACUGGAUGAGCAGCGAACGGGUGAGUAACGCGUGGGGAAUCUGCCUUUGAGCGGGGGACAACAUUUGGAAACGAAUGCUAAUACCGCAUAAAAACUUUAAACACAAGUUUUAAGUUUGAAAGAUGCAAUUGCAUCACUCAAAGAUGAUCCCGCGUUGUAUUAGCUAGUUGGUGAGGUAAAGGCUUACCAAGGCGAUGAUACAUAGCCGACCUGAGAGGGUGAUCGGCCACAUUGGGACUGAGACACGGCCCAAACUCCUACGGGAGGCAGCAGUAGGGAAUCUUCGGCAAUGGACGAAAGUCUGACCGAGCAACGCCGCGUGAGUGAAGAAGGUUUUCGGAUCGUAAAACUCUGUUGGUAGAGAAGAACGUUGGUGAGAGUGGAAAGCUCAUCAAGUGACGGUAACUACCCAGAAAGGGACGGCUAACUACGUG